RNAcentral lists this long non-coding RNA (729 nucleotides) under Musa acuminata (dwarf banana). RNAcentral's name for it is "long non-coding RNA (MACU_LNC003276)". The record is from RNAcentral. Lineage: Eukaryota; Viridiplantae; Streptophyta; Magnoliopsida; Zingiberales; Musaceae.
CACCUGCCAACAAAAGCACAUUCAAACAAAGGCUAGAUAUAUGAAAUAGAAAGCUUCUGGUUUUGUAGUUCCUCUAUCGAACUCUACUCUCCUAACUAACUUUUCAUCAUCAUAUCGGAGCUACUGUUUCAAUACGAAAGGAAGUGAUAAAAGAAAGAAACACAAACGAAGAAUCCACUUGAUCUCCGAAAGAUUGUACAAGUCACUCGAACAGUAUUUGAUAUCAUAGGAGCUGCGAAUCAGAUGGUAAUAAUAGCUGAUGACAAGAUCCAUCGAAAUCAAGCCAAUGCCCCCUCAUCCGGCAGAAAGGACAACAUCCACGCAUCAUGAGUCCUCGGUAUCUCGAUCGGAUCAGAGAACUGUUCUAAAAUGGUUACAAGGCGGCAAAGACCAUAGCGGAUUCGAUGAUUGACAAGAAACCAAAACGAAAUGGAGGAGCAGAGCUAGGAUUAGGCAUCCGAGAGCAAACCUGAGGACGAAGACGUUGGCCGACCUCCUUCUCGAAGUUGGCCUCCGUGAGGACGAAGACAUUGUCAUCGGCCACAGCCCAGGAGAGGAGCAGAGCUAGGAUUAGGCAUUCGAGAGCAAACCUGAGGACGAAGACGUUGGCCAACCUCCUUCUCGAAGUUGGCUUCCGUGAGGACGAAGACAUUGUCAUCGGCCACAGCCAAGGAGAGGAGCAGAGCUAGGAUUAGGCAUCCGAGAGCAAACCUGAGGACAAAGACGUUG